This 4479-nucleotide long non-coding RNA is filed under the name Sus scrofa (pig). Its description in RNAcentral is "lncRNA (ENSSSCG00060054794.1)". The record is from RNAcentral. Lineage: Eukaryota; Metazoa; Chordata; Mammalia; Artiodactyla; Suidae.
GGGGCACAGGCUUGCUGGUGGCAUCCCGCACAGACACUCUCUCCUCACAGCUCCCACCACGGGGACUGGAGGCAGGAGGAGCCGACGGGCCCCUGGAACGGCCGCGGUGCGUCCCGAGGUGGGAGCCGCAAGCCCGAGGCUCGGCCGAGUCCCAGGGGACCCUAACGGAGGCCGGGCUGGAAGGCCAAGGUGGCUGCCACGUGGGAAGGUAUCCUUGACGUCCAGACAUGAUGCUACUGCAGACAUAAGAGACUACGGCACAGCUAGCAUGAAGCUAGCUUUUCCAUGCACUGGAACCAGCCAGUACUCACCAGGUUGAGCUGGUCUGGAGCUGAACCCAGCUUCUCCGAGGUCUGCCCGUGGUAGAUGCUCCUUAUCCGUUUCCCUGAAGCGACCAAGCACAGCACGAGAGCCCAAGGCCCCCAUGCAGAUAAUGGACAAAGGCAGGACUUUCGUGUUAGUGGCCCACCUUCCUCUUCCUCGACGGUGGCUCCAGCCCCUUCAUGUCGCCUCCAAGCUCCUGCCCAAGUGUUCCCACCCGCACUGCUGGGAGCAGCUCCUCUGUGUUUUCAGGGCCACUUUGCUGUCGUCCUUUGAAGGUUCUCUUGGCGACUCUAGGAAGACUCCGUGGUACAGGUGACCUUCUGUAUCUGUGGAGGAUCGGUUCCCAGAUACCCCCGCCCACGGAUCCCAAAAUCCCAGGAGCCAAGCCUUGUCUAAAGUGCCGGAGUGCAGCCUGGCCUCCAGAACGCGUGAGAACAGAGCAGCCGUACUCUGUUUCCAACGAGCCGAUGGCCAAAGCCCCGCCGUGCGUGUUCUCUAUGGACUGAACAGCCAGUGGCCCUGUAGCAGUGAAGCCUCACACCGUCCUCCAGGCUGGAAGGGACCCUUGAGUCACAGAACUUGCCAGUUUGCAAACAUGUCUCUAGUUGUAACAACUUUCAUCUGUCAAAUGAGGGCUCUUCAUUUCUAAGGUUCUAGAAGCCGGCCGUGGUCAUUUAGUCCCUCAGCUGGGUGUACUGAAAUCUGGGCCAGAGGCACAGCUUCCUCGCUAAGACACCCCCCCACCCCAGCACCCUGCACACACACACAGGCAGAGGCCAAGCUGCCUGCCUCCCCGCACCCCCUAGAAUGCUGACCACUGGGGACCGAGGGGCAGUUCCUACCUUUUACAUCCUUACAUACUGAAUCUGGCGCUGGCUCCUGGGCUGCAUCUUCUUAACUGCAAACACUCUAUACCAUCCCUCUCUGGUUCCACCAGCCACCACCCUCCUUCCGUGUCCUCCUCUGAACGUGCCUGAUAAAGGCUUUUGAGUGACUGAAUGAGUGGACGGCUCCCAUCUUCUGUCAUCUCAAUGAGUGCUGCUCCCCAGCUGACUGGAACCAGACGCCCUAGUUCCCAGGCUGGGUUUCCCUCCAGAUGUGUUCUCCUGCGGUGUCGGUUCCACCGUUAAACAGCUGUAUCACUCAGCAGGUAUGCAACGUUGAUGCGCCUCCAUUUCCUCCUCUGCAGAAUUGUGGGAGUUCCUGUCGUGGCUCAGCAGAAUCCGGCUUGUAUCCACAAGGAUGCGGGUUCUAUCCCUGGCCUCGCUCGGUGAAUCUGGGAUCCAGCCUUGCCGUGAGCUGUGGUGUAGGCCGGAAGCUGUAGCUCCAAUUUGACCCCUAGCCUGGAAACUUCCACAUGCUGAGGGUUCGGCCUUAAAAACAACAACGACAACAAAAUAGUACUUACGUCAUAGGCUUGCUGUCAGCAUUAAAUGAGAGAGUCUGUUAAAAACGCCGAGAACAUUGCCUGGCAAUAUACAUUGCAGAAUACUCAAUAAAUAUUAGCUGGUGUUAUUUCAUACUUCAUCAAACACAACCUUCGUCACACAUCGCUGUGCUUCUUAUUUAAUUUGUUGACUUUCCAAAAAGACUGUAAGCUCACGUCUGCCGUGGUCUUAUCCCCAGCGUGGUGGUCUGGCAGGUGGUCAGGGGUCGAUACAGGUCUAAAUGCACCCCCGCGAGAAUGGGCGCGCUGAGGGCGGACACGAAUUUCUUCCACCUGUGACAUUUCAAAGAAUGGUUGAAACUGGUGCCUCUAUAACAUUUGAGAAGCAGACAGGAGACGCUAUUGCCAAGUGGCUACGUGCGCAGAGGGCGAAGCCAGAGGGGAUGAAUUGGAAGCCCAACUCCACGCUCAGCAGAACGUGACCGUACAUCAGCCAGCUUCUGUGCCUCUGUUUCCUCGUCUGUGAAAUGGGAAGGAUGAUAAUAGCACCAACCUCGGAGGGUUUUCAGGAAGCUUGAAUGAGUUCAUGUUUGGAAGGUCGUCGGCAUCACGUAAGUGCUAGCUGCCAUCUGCGCCAUUGGUAAGGACAUGACACAAAGAAGACUUGAGAGAGGAAAAAGCCACCAUGGCUGGAAGGCAGGGCUCAGAACAGGCCUGGGGCCAGGCCAGGAGGGUCCUGCACCAUUGACCUAUGGUCAGAGUAUUUUUGGUUCACAUGGUCCAGGCCACUCUUGAGGGCAGGGGCUUGGGGGGGCGGGGAUUCUAGAAGCCUGAUUUGCACUGCCCUGCCCCCCAGCUCUCAGCACAAACCCUGCCCCCAGGGAGGGAAGACGCAUCCCGCAUCCCGGCCCAGCCCCGCUGCUCCUCGGGGGCCUGCUGAGGCCGCGGCCACUCCUCCCACCCCGCCAGCUCCCCCUGGGGGACUUUGUCAUCACCACGUGGUUCAGGGACCCUCCAGACCCCCGGGGUGGCUGUCCUCUUCCCCGCUGCUGCGCCUCCAAGCCCAGGCCUCAGAGGAGCCCGGCUGCCACAGGACAGCCACCUCCUCCCUGGGCCUCACCGUCACUGACCCAAAAAUGGGUCAGAUUUGCUCAAGAUUCAUGACUUUUACGUAACACUGCUGUUAAACACAGGUGUGCCUAUUUAAACGAUUUGAAUAAGAUGCUAAUAAAUGAACCCACUGCCUUGCGAUGGCCGAGCUCUCACUUCAGGAUCGCAACACGAGUGCAGAACGAAUGCCUGGCUGGCGACGGGUUAAAGAAGUCGGUAUCGGCAGGCUUUCAGGAAGGAUCCAGCACGUGGUCCACGAGGUUCCUCAACUGAUGGGGCAGCAGGGACAGCUUCCCUCACUGGUGCCCGCUCACUGCCUGACGGGGGGCAGAGUCCAUCCAGGCAACACACAAUUUCAAAAAUGUGUUUAUCUUCUUCUUCUUUUUUCUUUUUGUGGCCACACCAGUGGCCUAGGGAAGUUCCCGGGCUAGGGGUCGAAUCGGAGCUGCAGCUGCCGGCCUGCUCCACAGCCAAAGCAGCUGGAAUCCAAAUCUCGUCUGUGACCCACACCACAGCUCAGGGCGACGUCGGAUCCUUAACCCACUGAGCGAGGCCGGGGAUCGAACCUGGGUCCUCAUGCACACUAGUCGGGGUCUUAACCCUCUGACUCGCAAUGGGAACUCCUAAAACGUUUUCUGACGGGGAUGCAGUCCCCCUUUAGACUGGCAUGCCGCGGCAUAAAGGCGGAAAUGCAGCUUUCUUCGUUCCACGCAGGGCCUCGCUCUCUGGACAGAGGCGGGAGGUGGGACAGGCAGACGGGAACCUCUGGGCUCGUGGCGAGAUUAUCCUGGAAGAGAAGACCGUUCAAACCGCUUGAAGCCCAUUGGGAUCCAAAGUAAGCGGCUUCACAAUCAGCCAAAGAUAAAAUGUUUUGAAAAGCACUGAAACUUCCUAUAGUGAGGGGUUAACUCCGUGGAGGCGUCUGGCUGCGUGGAGAGGGGCCUGGCGAGCAGAGCUGAGCGGCCGGCAGGAAGGGAAGAGGCUGCCUCCCGCCGGGGGCACACAGCCCACAGGCCUCCUGCGCGUGCUGGCCAGUGAUCGGCCAGGAAGGAUGACAGCGUGGCAGCAAGAGGCCACCGCGUGCUCCGAGGGGCUUCAGAUCCCUCCGUGCCUCUUGGUUUGACCCUGGCUUCUUGACUCCUCAUGCUCCCCAGCACUACCAUGGACCAGACCUUCUAGGACCAACCCUAUUCCGCUUCCUCCAACCUCCUCUUGGCCAUGAACUCAGAAGCCAAGGACCCCGCCGACAUCCUGCUGCGGAUGGAUGGCUCGCACCGGCUGGGACCCCAGGUUUUCCUGUUACGUGUCACCGAAGCCUCUCACAAGCCCUGGAAACAUCAUCAGGCACAGGAAGUUCUCAGCAAGAAUCUGAUUUUGGUUCUCCGUGACUCCCCCUCAGGGAUUAGUCUUUGUAGUACAGUUUCCAGAGUUCCCGCUGUGGCUCAGUUGGAAGGAACCCGACGAGUAGCCGUGAGAACACGGGUUCAAUCCCUAGCCUCGCUCAGUGGGUUAAGGAUCCAGUGCUGCUGUGAGCUGUGUGUAGCUCGGAUCUGGCAUGGCUGUGGCUGUGGCCUGGCAGCUGCAGCUCCGAUUCAACCCCUAGCCCAGGAACUUCCAUAUGUCGCAGGUGCAGUCCUAAAAAGAAAAAAAAAAAAAAA